Molecule: ribosomal RNA, 208 nt
Filed under: uncultured bacterium
Lineage: Bacteria
Description: partial 16S ribosomal RNA
Rfam family: Bacterial small subunit ribosomal RNA
Source: RNAcentral
CGUGUAGGCGGGAAGGAAAGUCAGAUGUGAAAUCCCCAGGCUCAACCUGGGAACUGCAUUUGAAACUCCCUUUCUUGAGUACCGGAGAGGAAAGCGGAAUUCCUGGUGUAGAGGUGAAAUUCGUAGAUAUCAGGAGGAACACCAGCGGCGAAGGCGGCUUUCUGGACGGUAACUGACGCUGAGACGCGAAAGCGUGGGGAAGCAAACA